GGCGGUGUAGCUCAGUUGGCAGAGCAGCGGACUCAUAAGCCGCGGGUCACUGGUUCGAAUCCAGUCGCCGCCA
RNAcentral lists this transfer RNA (73 nucleotides) under Candidatus Omnitrophota bacterium. RNAcentral's name for it is "Candidatus Omnitrophica bacterium (groundwater metagenome) tRNA-Met". It matches the Rfam family "tRNA". Rfam says of the family: Transfer RNA (tRNA) molecules are approximately 80 nucleotides in length. Their secondary structure includes four short double-helical elements and three loops (D, anti-codon, and T loops). Lineage: Bacteria; Pseudomonadati; Candidatus Omnitrophota. The record is from RNAcentral.